AUGGGGUGGAAGGCCGCGGAGAAGCUCAUCAGGCACUGGAAGAUCCUCCGCGGCGACAACGUGAUGAUCAUAAGGGGCAAGGACAAGGGGGAGAGCGGGCUGAUCAAGCGGGUCAUCCGGUCGCAGAAUCGCGUCAUCGUCGAGGGCAAGAAUCUGGUUAAGAAACAUAUUAAGCAAGGGGAAGGACAAACAGGUGGGAUCUUCUCAAUUGAAGCUCCACUUCAUGUUUCAAAUGUACAAGUAAUUGAUCCAGUCACCGGGAAACCAUGCAAGACUACAUACAAGUAUUUGCCAGAUGGGACUAAAGUAAGGGUCUCUAGAGGAAUGUAUGCGUCUGGUGCUGUCAUACCUCGGCCAGAAAUUUUGAAGGAGAGAAAAAAGCCGAGACCCACAUCUCAUGGCCCAAAGGACACACCAAUUGAGCAUGUGCUGGAGAAGACCUAUGAUGCCAAAGCUGGAAUUGGUAUGCCUGAUCUAUGA
RNAcentral lists this ribosomal RNA (480 nucleotides) under Triticum aestivum (bread wheat). RNAcentral's name for it is "partial small subunit ribosomal RNA". Lineage: Eukaryota; Viridiplantae; Streptophyta; Magnoliopsida; Poales; Poaceae. The record is from RNAcentral.